Molecule: non-coding RNA, 75 nt
Organism: Cucurbita maxima (winter squash)
Lineage: Eukaryota; Viridiplantae; Streptophyta; Magnoliopsida; Cucurbitales; Cucurbitaceae
Source: the annotation of a RefSeq genome assembly
GCGGGGAUAGCUCAGUUGGGAGAGCGUCAGACUGAAGAUCUGAAAGUCACGUGUGUUCGAUCCACGUUCACCGCA